GACAGAGGAUGCAAGCGUUAUCCGGAAUGAUUGGGCGUAAAGCGUCUGUAGGUGGCUUCUUAAGUCCGCUGUCAAAUCCCAGGGCUUAACCCUGGCCAGGCGGUGGAGACUACUAAGCUGGAGUACGGUAGGGGCAGAGGGAAUUUCCGGUGGAGCGGUGAAAUGCGUAGAGAUCGGAAAGAACACCAACGGCGAAAGCACUCUGCUGGGCCGACACUGACACUGAGAGACGAAAGCUAGGGGAGCGAAUGGG
Molecule: ribosomal RNA, 253 nt
Filed under: uncultured bacterium
Lineage: Bacteria
Description: partial 16S ribosomal RNA
Rfam family: Bacterial small subunit ribosomal RNA
Source: RNAcentral